Molecule: ribosomal RNA, 714 nt
Filed under: uncultured bacterium
Lineage: Bacteria
Description: bacterial SSU rRNA
Rfam family: Bacterial small subunit ribosomal RNA
Source: RNAcentral
AGAGUUUGAUCCUGGCUCAGAUUGAACGCUGGCGGCAUGCCUUACACAUGCAAGUCGAACGGCAGCACGGGGGCAACCCUGGUGGCGAGUGGCGAACGGGUGAGUAACAUAUCGGAACGUGCCCUAGAGUGGGGGAUAACUAGUCGAAAGAUUAGCUAAUACCGCAUACGAUCUACGGAUGAAAGUGGGGGAUCGCAAGACCUCAUGCUCGUGGAGCGGCCGAUAUCUGAUUAGCUAGUUGGUGGGGUAAAGGCCUACCAAGGCAUCGAUCAGUAGCUGGUCUGAGAGGACGACCAGCCACACUGGGACUGAGACACGGCCCAGACUCCUACGGGAGGCAGCAGUGGGGAAUUUUGGACAAUGGGCGCAAGCCUGAUCCAGCAAUGCCGCGUGAGUGAAGAAGGCCUUCGGGUUGUAAAGCUCUUUUGUCAGGGNAAGAAACGGUUCGGGUUAAUACCUUGGGCUAAUGACGGUACCUGAAGAAUAAGCACCGGCUAACUACGUGCCAGCAGCCGCGGUAAUACGUAGGGUGCAAGCGUUAAUCGGAAUUACUGGGCGUAAAGCGUGCGCAGGCGGUUGUGCAAGACAGAUGUGAAAUCCCCGGGCUCAACCUGGGAAUUGCAUUUGUGACUGUACGGCUAGAGUGUGUCAGAGGGGGGUAGAAUUCCACGUGUAGCAGUGAAAUGCGUAGAGAUGUGGAGGAAUACCGAUGGC